AUGGACCCCGCCACGGAGGCCGCACACUCAGUGGCGAUAGAGCCGAACACAGAUCCCACUCCUAAGGAGAUCUUCAUCAUCGGACCCUCGGACUCGUCUCCGGCCAUAGGCACCGAACCGCGCGCGUCCGUGCCUAUCAAACAUGAUUGUUCACCGGUCAUGGAGUUUAGCUCUAUGGAUAUCUUUCAGCACUCGCCCUUGGGCGACGUGCUAAAUUCAUUAAAAUCUCUCUCCAUGUCAGGAGACUCUUGGCCGAACUAUGUCCGGCUUGAGUGGGAAGCGUACGACGAAGAAAUUCAUUCCCCACCCACCACCCACUUAAUAGCCACUGUCGACGACUUAACUGACAUGCUUGAUUUCAACCCCGAAGACAUCGACGGUAUGGACGAAGAUGUCGGAGAAGAAUAG
RNAcentral lists this ribosomal RNA (408 nucleotides) under Triticum aestivum (bread wheat). RNAcentral describes it as "partial small subunit ribosomal RNA". The record is from RNAcentral. Lineage: Eukaryota; Viridiplantae; Streptophyta; Magnoliopsida; Poales; Poaceae.